RNAcentral lists this transfer RNA (72 nucleotides) under Phrynosoma platyrhinos (Desert horned lizard). Its description in RNAcentral is "tRNA-OTHER". The record is from RNAcentral. Lineage: Eukaryota; Metazoa; Chordata; Lepidosauria; Squamata; Phrynosomatidae.
UUCCUUGUGGCAUAGUGGUUUGAGUAUUGGACUACAACUCUGGAGACCAGGGUUCGAUUCCCAGCUCGGCCA